GAUGAAGAACGCAGCGAAAUGCGAUAAGUAGUGUGAAUUGCAGAAUUCAGUGAAUCAUCGAAUCUUUGAACGCACAUUGCGCCCCUUGGUAUUCCAUGGGGCAUGCCUGUUCGAGCGUCAUUUGUACCUUCAAGCUUUGCUUGGUGUUGGGUGUUUGUCUCGCCUUUGCGUGUAGACUCGCCUUAAAAUAAUUGGCAGCCGGCGUAUUGAUUUCGGAGCGCAGUACAUCUCGCGCUUUGCACUCAUAACAACAGCGUCCAAAAGUACAUUUUACACUCUUGACCUCGGAUCAGGUAGGGAUACCCGCUGAACUUAAGCAUAUCAAUAAGCGGAGGA
Molecule: unclassified non-coding RNA, 336 nt
Filed under: soil metagenome
Description: partial contains 5.8S ribosomal RNA, internal transcribed spacer 2, and large subunit ribosomal RNA
Rfam family: 5.8S ribosomal RNA (bases 1-120)
Source: RNAcentral